This 387-nucleotide ribosomal RNA is filed under the name uncultured bacterium. RNAcentral's name for it is "bacterial SSU rRNA". It matches the Rfam family "Bacterial small subunit ribosomal RNA", at positions 28 to 417 of the family's 1533-position model. The record is from RNAcentral.
GACGAACGCUGGCGGCGUGCUUAACACAUGCAAGUCGGGCGGUAAGGCCCUUUCGGGGGUACACGAGCGGCGAACGGGUGAGUAACACGUGGGUGACCUGCCCUUAGCUCUGGGAUAAGCCUGGGAAACUGGGUCUAAUACCGGAUAUGACUCCAUGACGCAUGUUGUGGGGUGGAAAGCCUUGUGCGGCUAGGGAUGGGCCCGCGGCCUAUCAGCUUGUUGGUGGGGUGAUGGCCUACCAAGGCGACGACGGGUAGCCGGCCUGAGAGGGCGACCGGCCACACUGGGACUGAGACACGGCCCAGACUCCUACGGGAGGCAGCAGUGGGGAAUCUUGCGCAAUGGGCGAAAGCCUGACGCAGCGACGCCGCGUGGGGAUGACGGCCU